CGGAGAUAUGGUGUUUUCAGACAAGGGAAUAAAUUCCCGGAAGCAAGUGGCCAAGGAAUGAAAAUCCUGGAGAACAAAGUGUAAUAAACCCGUAUUCAAUGGUUCCUGUUGAUUUUCUUUCCUCCCUAAACACUGACCUCCCGCAGUCUUCACCAGCAGUAGAGCUGAAUCCCUUGGAAACACUCAUAGCACGAUGACAAGGUUUUGGCAGCUGCAGUCUUGAAGACCAGGAAGUGAGAGUGCAAGGAGGCUUCCAGCCUCACGAUGCCCUUGGAUCCUUGCAAUAGUCCCUUGAAAAUGGUAGACUUUGGAUGCUUUUACACAUUUAUGUAAAAAUGUAUUUUACAUUU
Cercocebus atys (sooty mangabey) is the source of this 350-nucleotide long non-coding RNA. RefSeq lists it as uncharacterized. The transcript has 3 exons. NCBI's taxonomy places the organism in Eukaryota, Metazoa, Chordata, Mammalia, Primates, Cercopithecidae. The record is from RefSeq and is a predicted model, not a curated record.